GAUGAACGCUGGCGGCGUGCCUAAUACAUGCAAGUCGAGCGAACAGAUGAGGAGCUUGCUCCUCUGAUGUUAGCGGCGGACGGGUGAGUAACACGUGGAUAACCUACCUAUAAGACUGGGAUAACUUCGGGAAACCGGAGCUAAUACCGGAUAAUAUAUUGAACCGCAUGGUUCAAUAGUGAAAGACGGUUUUGCUGUCACUUAUAGAUGGAUCCGCGCCGCAUUAGCUAGUUGGUAAGCUAACGGCUUACCAAGGCAACGAUGCGUAGCCGACCUGAGAGGGUGAUCGGCCACACUGGAACUGAGACACGGUCCAGACUCCCACGGGAGGCAGCAGUAGGGAAUCUUCCGCAAUGGGCGAAAGCCUGACGGAGCAACGCCGCGUGAGUGAUGAAGGUCUUCGGAUCGUAAAACUCUGUUAUUAGGGAAGAACAAAUGUGUAAGUAACUAUGCACGUCUUGACGGUACCUAAUCAGAAAGCCACGGCUAACUACGUG
This 497-nucleotide ribosomal RNA is filed under the name uncultured bacterium. Its description in RNAcentral is "partial 16S ribosomal RNA". It matches the Rfam family "Bacterial small subunit ribosomal RNA", at positions 28 to 507 of the family's 1533-position model. The record is from RNAcentral.